UUCCUAAUAUAAGUAUAUCCCAUGCAUUAUUUAGGACAUACUUAUACUAAAA
This is a non-coding RNA of Myotis lucifugus (little brown bat), 52 nucleotides long. Lineage: Eukaryota; Metazoa; Chordata; Mammalia; Chiroptera; Vespertilionidae. The record is from Rfam.